GAUGAACGCUGGCGGCGUGCCUAAUACAUGCAAGUCGAGCGAACGGACAAGGAGCUUGCUCCUCUGACGUUAGCGGCGGACGGGUGAGUAACACGUGGAUAACCUACCUAUAAGACUGGGAUAACUUCGGGAAACCGGAGCUAAUACCGGCUAAUAUUUUGAACCGCAUGGUUCAAAAGUGAAAGACGGUUUUGCUGUCACUUAUAGAUGGAUCCGCGCCGCAUUAGCUAGUUGGUAAGGUAACGGCUUACCAAGGCAACGAUGCGUAGCCGACCUGAGAGGGUGAUCGGCCACACUGGAACUGAGACACGGUCCAGACUCCUACGGGAGGCAGCAGUAGGGAAUCUUCCGCAAUGGGCGAAAGCCUGACGGAGCAACGCCGCGUGAGUGAUGAAGGUCUUCGGAUCGUAAAACUCUGUUAUUAGGGAAGAACAAAUGUGUAAGUAACUGUGCACGUCUUGACGGUACCUAAUCAGAAAGCCACGGCUAACUACGUG
This 497-nucleotide ribosomal RNA is filed under the name uncultured bacterium. RNAcentral describes it as "partial 16S ribosomal RNA". It matches the Rfam family "Bacterial small subunit ribosomal RNA", at positions 28 to 507 of the family's 1533-position model. The record is from RNAcentral.